This 768-nucleotide long non-coding RNA is filed under the name Nicotiana benthamiana. RNAcentral describes it as "long non-coding RNA (NBEN_LNC018380)". Lineage: Eukaryota; Viridiplantae; Streptophyta; Magnoliopsida; Solanales; Solanaceae. The record is from RNAcentral.
CAAGAACGCCAAAAAAGUAUAACAAAAGAACAUAUAGGAAAACGCAGUGAGAUAAACAUGUGAGAGCAUGAUAUAGAAACACAGUAGGAAAACGAAAUAUAAAAAGCACAGAAGAGCAUGUAUGGUAGAAAGGAAACAUAUGAGCACAGUAGAGACAAAUACACACAAAGAAAAGGAAAAGAAAUGCCGGAGAAACAUUUUAAGCAUUUCAGAAAAUAUGAGCACAGUAGAGACAAAGACACACAAAGAAAAGGAAAAGAAAUGUCGGAGAAACAUUUUAAGCAUUUCAGAAAACCCUAAAUCGAAAAAGAAGCGAUUUUGAAAGUAAUUUUUGAAAGAAAGUUGGGGAAACUGUUUGAAAACUCAAACAGAGCAUGGAUACACAGCAGAUCUAAAAAAAAUGAGAGAUAACCUCAAAUAGUUAGGAUUUCAAAAGAACCCUAAAAUGAGAAAGGCCAUGAAAAGGUUCGAUCUGAUUUAUAAAAGAUCAGAAUCAGGCUCAGAAGACCAGGAUACGCCUGAGCAAAGCUGAAGAUGGCCGUAGAACCUUGGAUCGGUGGAGAUAUGAAUGAACAACUUCGAGGUCAGACCUCAAACCUUCAAGUACCAGUGUAUAUGAGCAAAGAGAUGUGAGUUUAAGCCUCCCAUAUCCUAAGAAGCCAUGGAUUCCGGUGGUUUCGAGGUUGCAAACAGUAGGAGGCGAUUAGGAAUUUGAGAACAUUCGAGAGAGUGGAGUGCUUAGAGGCAGCUGAUAGAUGGGAAGUGAGG